Molecule: long non-coding RNA, 6274 nt
Organism: Canis lupus familiaris (dog)
Lineage: Eukaryota; Metazoa; Chordata; Mammalia; Carnivora; Canidae
Exons: 3
Source: RefSeq, a predicted model, not a curated record
AUGCCUGGCUUUCUGGCAGCCGUGCUGCUCCAGGCAUCCGACCGAGGACCCUUCCUGUGGUGACCAGCAUCAGGGUGGAUGUGAACCUGGAUGGACAGAAUGGACAGUGUCCAGACCCAGCCCAGGAGUCCCUCGCCCUGGAGAGAGCCCCCACCUCGUAGGACGGGAGGCCCCCACCCACACCCCCACCUCGUAGGACGGGAGGCCCCCACCCAGAGCCCCCACCUUGUAGGACUGACAGGCCCCAGGCCCCCCCAAGGAGCCGGGCGUGCCCUCGGCAGGGUCUGCACUGAACACGAUCUGGAGAGCAGACGUGAAAACAUGUACAGAGAACUACACUCUAGCCAAGGCGACCAGCCGAGGAGAAGCAGCAAGCGGGUAAAUCGUGGACGGAGCACGAAGGCAGAGACGCCAGACACCAGACUGCCCGACUCCGGAGCCAGCAAAGCCAGGUGACAGGCGGUUAGGGCCGAGGAGGAGACGGCACCGAAGCAGACGCAUCAACGAGUGAAGAGGGGGCGCCCGUGCUGCCUGGUGCCUGGGCCUGCGGUGCCCGGGGAUCAGGGGCCAGCCCAGUGGCUGAGCCCGUCUCAUGCCCCCUCGGUGCCCCCCGUCCCUCCAAGGCCCGCCUCCUGCGGUCCCCGGGCUCGGUCAGCAGCAGACCCCCUGCUCACACGACUUCGCGGGGAUCUGGAUUUGGGGAAGUGCAAGGCUCUCCCACCGGCGGGGGGGCCCCCAGGCAGCCCUUCGGGUAUUCACCACAGGCUGCCCCGCUGAGGUCCCAGGGCUGGCCCAGUGCGCCCCCCUGCCCACGGGAGCCAGCUGUGGGAUGAGGGAUGAGCCGCCGCCCAGUCCCACUCCAUCCAGCUGGAACAGACACAGCAGAGCAAGCAGCAGGCCCGCAGGCAGCACCGGGCAGGAGGGGACACGGAGUCAUCUGCUAGGCCCUCUUAGGGCAGCUGCCACAGGAAACCCCAAACCCUCAGGGUGACGGGUGCUUGGGCUCAGUGAGGCUGUGGGGGAGAAUCCUGUGGCAUGGACAGGCCCUCUGGGGAGGAGGGGGCGCUGCCCGGGACGGGGUGAGGGCCGGGGCCGCAGGGCUGGCCUGGAGCAGGGCAUGGCAGGAGGGGGCAGCAGAGCACAGGGCCGGCUCCCCUGCAGGGGCCGAGAAAAGGCACUGGGAACGGGGAGCACAAACGCAGGGCCCGGCGGGGGCCGUGGCUGCAGCGCGGUGGCAGGCUGGGCGCCUGCUGUCCCCUCGCAGAAGUGCUGGGAUGACGCCGGCCCACACCUCACACUCAGGACACGCCCCCGCCUCCGCCCCCACCCCCCGGGCCGGGCAGGGUGCCUCCGGGGAAGAGGAAGUGCACUCCACGGGCUGCUGGCUCCAAGCACCUUGGCCUUGCCCCAAGUCUGGAGCCAGUAGAAGCUCCAGGCCCCCCUCCACGGCCCUCGGGAAGGGAAACGCCGCACCUUCGCCGCAGGCCCGUCCCUACCUGGAUGAUGUCCGACAGCUUCUGCAAGCCUGCUGUGUUGCUGAACAGCCCCGUGCCUGUGGGAGCAGCAGCCGCUGGCCGUCCACGCCCCACCAGGGGAGGCUCCGACCCCCACCCCCGGGAGCCACGAGCAAGCUCAGCCUCAACCCGGCAUUGCUGUGGGGCGUGCCCCCGGGGAGCAGCUCCCACGCUGCCCCCAGAACAUCUCCGGAGUCAGCGGGAGGAGAAAAGAGGCCCUGUGCUCCAGUACGGCUGGGCCUGCCUGCCCACCCCCAGGGCCCGGGAGCCCAGAACGCCGGUCACCCAAGAGAACGAGACCCCACCCAGUAGAAGUGGGCCCGUAGGGCAGCCUCGGGGUGCAAACAGGAUGUGGGGGCUCAGCACCAAGGUUCACUGACCCACCAGGUCCCUCAGCACUCUUCCUUUAAAGGCCCGACCAAGAAACGGAAAGCUGGGCUGUGCUUUACAAAACAGACGCCCGUCCAACAGCGCUGAUGCCCCAGUGUCACCGCCGGAGAGGGAGGUCUGGGGGGGACGCUCCUCUCGGGGAUGCAGGAGGCUCUGGCCCUGAGUCAAGGCCUAGCACCCCGCAGGCUGCAGGGCAGGCUGGGGACUCACGUCCUGCCAGGUGCUGAAUGAUCUGGUCCAGGGAGUCGAGGAUGCAGCCUUUGGUCUGAAACGUUAUCUGGGCCUCCGCGAACAGCUCGAAGAUGUAGCUGUGGGAGAAUGGGCCUCAUGCGGGGCGCCAGCCAGCGGCCUUAUAUUCCCCGCAGUCGGACACGAGCGCCAAGGGCUCCAGAGUUGGCCGAACCCAGAGGUGAGAGAGACAUGAGCACUGAGGAGAAGGCCGGGCCCCCACGGCGUUGUGGGAGGCAGUGAAGCCUGCCGUCUGGGCCGUGGAGGGGUGGGUGGGGCGGGCCAAGCAGCCUGGCUCCUCUGGGAAGCAAGUGGAGCCCUGUGAGGCUCCGAGCACAGCAGCCGGGCUCGGGGAGGAGGCAGGCAGCGGUGCUCCAGCACAUUAUAGAAUUCCCCAGACCCCCAGAACCCGAGCCUGGAUCCCAGCACGGCUGCCAGCUGCACCCGGAGGAGGGCCACAACCAGCCCCAGACCAUGACCUUUGGGAAAGAACCCCAGCUGCCCCGGGCUGCUGAGACCGCAGCCCCGCGCCCUGGUCAGAGCCACCGGGGCUCCCGAGGCCGGAAGGGGCAGCUGGGAGGAAGAGGCGUCUCAGCGUAAAGGGCCGGCCCAGAGGGGGCGGCGGGGACAGGGGCCCUGCCUGCACGCGCACUGGCCCUAGGCCCCAACACCCUAGUACAAAGCCUCUCAUGGGCCACUGAAACCAAAUCAGACCUCACAGGCGUGCGGGCGGGGCCGGGGGCAGGGGGCCCACCGUAGGGAGCGCUGCGCACGCCCUGCCCCUUACCUCCCUGGCUUGGUGACGCCGCUGUGGUCCCCAGGCAGCUCGACAGCAUCGAUGGCCGCCUCCAGGCGCAGCAGGAUCACUGUGGGGAGGGGGUCAUGAGGGGCGGCCCGCCUAGCCACGGGCGUUGGGGGAGGCCAGCACUCACUCUUGAGCUUUGCGAGGUCUUCCAGCUCCAUGUGCAGCCCUGGGAAAGCAGCAAAUGCGUGGUCACGUCCCACUUCUGCCAACCGCGUCCCCACGAGCCAGGACUCUGGCUGGAUUCCCGCCUGUGUCCCCAAGUAGGCGAGGCACAGAGAUAACCACGGACAAGAGGAUCCGACAUCCCUGCAGCCCGAUCAUGGGCCGGAGGCAGCAGGCCUGGCAGGGCCAUGGAACAUCUGCAGAGGGGCCCGAGCUCAGCAACGGGACCGAGGCUGUCGUCUGCGUUUAGACACGAGUACCACCGACGACAUUAAACGCUCUCCUCCUCAGGGGACAAGGGACCAAUCACACAAGUCAGGGAUAAAUUCAAACUCCCAAAUCCAAAAACGGGCAAAAUAUCAAGCAUCUAUCCGCCUUUUCCUGUGAGAACGGUGUCACCGAGUAACAGCCGAGGUGAGAGCACCUCGACGAAGUCACCCCCCCAAUAAACCGAGCAGUGCAGGGGGCACACGACCCUCUGUCAAUGCCCUGGUGACCACCGGGUCUCAGCACCGAGCGCAACGGUGUUCCCGUCGCCACGGCGAGAACCUGCCGCCCGGAGACGCCUCCGGAGACGAAGUGCGGUGACUGAAGCCACCCCAUCUGCGGCUCCACCAGGUCGGUGGCUGGAGCGAAGCAGGGCGCGUGGCCACGGCAGGUCUCUCCUUCCUGGGACCCGCCUGCCACCCGCAGAAGCUAAGGGACGGUGGCCACACCCUUGCCGACACUGGUCACUGCCCAUCAGCCUGGCAGCAGCCGUGCCACUGGGCCUACAGGGCGUCGCUCGGCGCUCAGACCUGCGUCUCCACGUGCGCACUGACCCCUUGCGUCUACUCUGAAGCGCCUGUUCCUACUUUUUGUCCAUUUUUAACGGGACUGUCUUUUCUUUGAGUAGUAAGAGUUUCCUGUGUGUUUUGGAUGAAAAUUCCUUAUCAGAUACGUGAUCCACAAAAAAGACCUGCCGUCCUCUGGCCAGUCCUUCCGCUGUCCCGGUGGCAUCUCCGAAGCCUAACAGUUGGACUGUGAUGACGUCGGGCGUCUCUCUUUCCUUUGUGCUUCUCAGCCAGCAGCACUUGUUCCUUCCUUAAAGGUUUUUCCAUAUUUAUUCGUCACCUCCACCCCCACCCGGGAGGUCACCCCAGAGAGCACACGUCACACGCUCCACUGACCGAGCCGGCCAGCCGUCCCCACGGCAUCACUUCUGAGGCCACAGCCCGGGGAGCGACACCGGGGUGAGCGAGCCCCAGGCAGGGGUUGCCGAGUGCAAGCCGCCGGGGCCAUGCUGAGCAGCCCCUUCCGGGGGACGGGGUAGGAAGGAGGCGAACCGUGACCGGGGAAGAACCCGACACAAACAGCCGACAGCGACAGUCCUCAGCCACACACGGGGAGCGUAGGGCGCGACAAGAACCGUGCUGGACCCGUGCUUCUCCCAAAUCCCAGAGCCCGGGGAACCCACGAGGAAACAGUUGCCUCCCAACGAAGGCACAUGCCACCAAAGGCCCUGGCGACCCUCCAACUAUGGGCUUUAGCAAGAGCUCACGGACCAGAGCAGGCCGAGGGGACAUGCCUGGUGCGGGCUUUCCUGGCGCAGAACAAGGACGUCACUGGAAAACCAAGCACCGGCAGCCACUGUGCGCCCGCCGGGAUGGCCAUUUCCAACACAAAAUGCGUGAAGACAGUGCUCACGCCCACUUCGGAGAGGAGCAAGUCGAAAGCAUCCCGGGGCCGUGUCGCUCGAGGGCCUGGCGCUCCAAGUCAGCAGGCGCCACGCAGGGCCCAGGCUUCGGCAGCCCGCCCCCGCCCCCCCACCCCCCCCCAGCCGGGACCAGCCGACGGGGCGGGCGCCCGGGCCCCGGGCCGAGCUGCCGGCAUCACCAGGCAAGUGCUGCGGCAGCAGACCCGGAUGCGGGCCGUCGCCUUGAGGGAGGCAGGCGGCCCUGGGGGGCGCUCUCCGGGGGGCAGGCCCGUGUGCAGCGCAGAAGCAAGCGUGAACAAAAUAUGCGCAUGUCUGCUCCUGCGUGGGACAAACGCAGCCAAGCAAGAAUAAGCCGGAAACCAGGAAGACACUUCGCGGCCUCCAGAACCACACAGAGGUUUCCAGUGCCCAAGAAAACCGAAGCAACAGAAUCAAUGAGGACAAACACUGAAUAAGAAAUGACCCUAAAAGGACAGCGCAGCCACGGGGCGGGGGGGCAACAGGGACUCGUGAGCCUGGUCUCCCGACCAGCACUCGGACGCACGCGCUCUGGGGAGCAGCUUGCCUUGUCACGGCCGGGGAGCUGCUGUACACAGCUGCCUGCAUGUCCCAGGGCGGACGGAGCACAAGAGACGCCAAGGAAAGCGGGACCACGGUUCUCCCAGCAGGGGAAGCACGGAAUCGCCACCACGGGGGAACGAGCGCGGCGCUGGACGGGACAGCAGGGUGUGCAGGGCACCCCAUGCUGCGCGGGAGAGCUAGCCGCUCCCACAGGCCCAGACGCAAGGGGCGUGGGGGUGAGACUCAGCGCUUCAUAAACAUCAAGCAGUCCUUAAUUCUGGGGGGAGGGGGUCGCCCACGGAUGCCACAGAUUGCUCAGGACUUACUGAUGGAGGAACAGUAACCUCACAGGGGACAAUGGUGGCAGUUGUCACCUAAGGGAAUAAUCCAAGUCAGCACCCCCAACCAUGCGGCAGAUGGGCUGUGCCUCCGGGGACACCUGUCAAAGGUGCACACAACCUGAACAGAAUCUACAACACCUCACACAUGCCCACAGUGCAGGACACUCAGCAGCACAGUAACUAAGCUUCAUCCUCAAAAGCGUCUAUUCCAAGGAAGAGGACACCUGAGACUCUGUCCAGGUCACAGCUCCAAGGCCGCAGAGAUACGGCGACGGGGGGGCUCCCAGAGCACGUCCUCUGAGGGUGCCUCUGGCUAUGAUGAGGACAACCAGAGACACUCUAAGGUGCCCGGCCAGUCACGCAGGGGCUUCCCAUCAGACCAGGGCACUGUGGCCACACAGCACGUCCUUGCUCUUGGGACACACACGCCAGGACACAGUCAAAGGAAGGGUGCAGGGCAGCCCGGGUGGCGCAGAGGUUUAGCGCCGCCUGCAGCCCGGGGUGUGAUCCUGGAGACCCGGGAUCGAGUCCCACGUCGGGCUCCCUGCAUGGAGCCUGCUUCUCCCUCUGCCUGUGU